This is a small nuclear RNA of Cercocebus atys (sooty mangabey), 105 nucleotides long. The record is from Ensembl. NCBI's taxonomy places the organism in Eukaryota, Metazoa, Chordata, Mammalia, Primates, Cercopithecidae.
GUGUUCAAUUAGACAGCAUAUCGACUAAAAUUGGAAUAAUACAGAGAAGGCUAGCAUAUACCUGCAAAAAAUGGCAUGUAAAUUUGUGAAGCAUUCCAUAUUUUA